Molecule: ribosomal RNA, 330 nt
Filed under: uncultured bacterium
Lineage: Bacteria
Description: bacterial SSU rRNA
Rfam family: Bacterial small subunit ribosomal RNA
Source: RNAcentral
UGCGCAGGCGGUUAUGUAAGUCAGAUGUGAAAUCCCCGGGCUUAACCUGGGAAUGGCAUUUGAGACUGCAUGGCUAGAGUGUGUCAGAGGGGGGUAGAAUUCCACGUGUAGCAGUGAAAUGCGUAGAGAUGUGGAGGAAUACCGAUGGCGAAGGCAGCCCCCUGGGAUAACACUGACGCUCAUGCACGAAAGCGUGGGAGCAAACAGGAUUAGAUACCCUGGUAGUCCACGCCCUAAACGAUGUCUACUAGUUGUCGGGACUUAAUUGUCUUGGUAACGCAGCUAACGCGUGAAGUAGACCGCCUGGGGAGUACGGUCGCAAGAUUAAAA